This 1703-nucleotide long non-coding RNA is filed under the name Cotesia glomerata. RNAcentral describes it as "uncharacterized LOC123269978". Lineage: Eukaryota; Metazoa; Arthropoda; Insecta; Hymenoptera; Braconidae. The record is from RNAcentral.
CUUAUCAAUUUUUGUGGACAUUUUCAAUUAGUUGCAUAGAUAUAGACUAUCAAAAAUAAGUAAAGUUGUGUAUACAUAUUCUACAUUUGGUUAAUAAACGAUUUAAAUAGAAGCGUGGUUUUGUGAAUUCAAACAAUAGAUUUUCUCCUCUCCGCCCUGAGGACUAAGAUAGCAGAACACAGAAAUAACGCUAUUAAAUUCAAUAUCGUUAUCAUUGACCACCUGUACGAUUGCAGACAAAUUUAUUAUCAUCACGUAUUUAUUUGCCCGUCAUACUGGUACAUAGUGUUAAAAACUACCACAGCCGACACUUUCUUAUAAUUUACUGAUUAAAUUAAAUGACUCGAAACAAAAUUAAAAAAAAAAAUAAUAUGCUAACCGGAGAAAUAUGACCUGAUGUAAAAAUGGUCAACAUUAAAUUUAGAUAGAGAAAAACGAACCGUUACUAUUAUAAACGAUAGUCACGUUUAUAAAAGUAACAAGUGAUUACUGAUUUAUUGUAAAAAAAAAAAAAAAAAACAAAAACUUGACGUUUAUUAGUAAUUAAAAUUAUUGAUCUGAAACAUGAUUAAAUUUUAAACUUAUUAAAACUUUUGGAACCACCUGUAUAUCUAGUAUAUCAGAGUUUCGUUCUACUUCCUCUGUACUUCAAUUACGUACAUCCAAAAUAGCUACAAGUGUGUAAUUUAAAAUAACUGAGCAGAACGUUAAUAAAAUAUUUUAUGACCAUCUUUUCAAACAAAAAAAAAAACAUUACUGUAGAUCAAUGAACUAUUUACAUUCCUAGAGAUAGAGAAUUGUCACAUAUGUAACAGAUACCUACAUAGAAAAAGCCAAUGUGACAUAGUCGUAAUAUGAUAUUGUAUGAGUUAUCGUAUUAUACGAGUUUAAAAUUGAAAGCGAUUCCAAUGAAGUACUGAAAGUUAAGAAAAAUUGAUGAGUAGCCAAGAAGAGUAAAAAACUUGUCGCAUGCGCUAAAUAUACUGUUAGUAAAAGACGAAGAUGUAGGUUAAGUUAUAUAUUAGUACCGUCGAAAUAACGUUCGGUUUCAUAUAUGUUUCGCUAAUAAAAUUGUGAAAACGCACUAUCCAUUCCAUUCUAUAGAUAUGAAUAGGAUAGUUUUAUAUACGUGACAUUAAAAUAUUUUUCCUUUAUCAUAAAUUUAUCAUACACUAUGUAACUCAAUUAAGGUAAAUCGCACAUUGAAGCAACGUAAAGAUAAAAGGAGUUUUCGAGUAAUAAGUUAUUCAAAAAUGAACUUUUGACGUGCAGCUCAUAGUAAAAUUUAGGCAAACACUCUUAUUUUAAAUUGUCUCACCGAAUCUGCUAAAAUCUAAAAAAACUAAAAACUUUUGUUUACAUGAAUCGCUUUUUGUAAAUUAUUUAAAAAAAAAUAUUUUGACGAAGGGUUUGAUCAAUAUCUCAAUGGAAAGAAUUUUUAUUCACAAAAUAAUCAUGAGUAAAAGUGAGCUAAUGAUAAUCCGAGAGAAAGGCAGCAAUAGCGAGCAAAAAGGAAAGCAAUAGCUCAAGCUAUAUAUGUCGUGUCUAACCGCCUUAAUAAUUAAAAAAUAAUAAUAAUAAUUAAAUAAAUAAGUAAUUAUUCAAAUAUUAAUUUACUCUCCACACUUGACCUCAAUUAUUUUCAUCAUGACGACGAGGAUAAAUCGAUUUUCAAUAACAACGUCAUAGAGCUUCUCCAUAUU